AACGCUGGCGGCAGGCUUAACACAUGCAAGUCGAACGCCCCGCAAGGGGAGUGGCAGACGGGUGAGUAACGCUGGGAAUCUACCCAGUUCUACGGAACAACACAGGGAAACUUGUGCUAAUACCGUAUACGCCCCAAGGGGGAAAGAUUUAUCGGAAUUGGAUGAGCCCGCGUUGGAUUAGCUGGUUGGUGAGGUAACGGCUCACCUAAGGCGACGAUCCAUAGCUGGUCUGAGAGGAUGAUCAGCCACACUGGGACUGAGACACGGCCCAGACUCCUACGGGAGGCAGCAGUGGGGAAUAUUGGACAAUGGGCGAAAGCCUGAUCCAGCCAUGCCGCGUGAGUGAUGAAGGCCUUAGGGUUGUAAAGCUCUUUCAGUGGGGAAGAUAAUGACGGUACCCACAGAAGAAGCCCCGGCUAACUUCGUG
RNAcentral lists this ribosomal RNA (427 nucleotides) under uncultured bacterium. RNAcentral's name for it is "bacterial SSU rRNA". It matches the Rfam family "Bacterial small subunit ribosomal RNA", at positions 32 to 507 of the family's 1533-position model. The record is from RNAcentral.